Long non-coding RNA from Grus americana (Whooping crane), 745 nucleotides. RefSeq lists it as uncharacterized. The record is from RefSeq and is a predicted model, not a curated record. Lineage: Eukaryota; Metazoa; Chordata; Aves; Gruiformes; Gruidae. The transcript has 3 exons.
GCCGUCUCUGCCCGGGAGAGAGCGGAGCUCCGGGGCGCCUGGAUGAGGGGGGUGCUUUGCAAUUAGCCGGUCACACCCCCGAGUCGUGGGUUUAAUUUUGAUUUUUGAUAUUUUUUUCUCUCCUGAGCGCUGUAGGGUGUUCAGGAAAAUGAGUUCUUUUGCCUUCCCUAGCUAUGAGACUGAAAUUGAUCCUUGUUUACAGCUGGAGAAGAACAGAAGAGAUGUUAACACCAGAAGACCACACAAAGGAUAAAGCAAUACCAUCACCUCACCCAUUUGCUUUGAGUUAAAAAAAACCCAAAUCAUAAAAUCCUGCCUGAGAUUGGAAUACAGCUUCAUUCUUCUGUAACAUUGUUUGAAUUACUAUAGCUGCUACUGUAGUUCUGGUUUCAUUUACUUAGGUCAAUCUAAUAUUCUGGAUAAUGCUCUGACGCUCUAAAGAAAUCUUCAGAGUAAAGUUCCAGAAAAAAAACUUGUGUUGCAGCCAAGAUAAACUCCUCACUGGAGCUAUAGGGAAGGUUCAAUAGAAUUUAUAGGGAAAGCGACAUUUUCAUUUAAAAAUUAUGAAAACAGUUGACAGGAGCUUUAUCUUGUUUGAUCCUUAUUAAGUUUUCAUAGUGAGAUGGUGCUCCCUGUGUCCCAGAGGCAAAAAUUGCCAUGUCUUAUCAUGUUUGUUUAGCAUCUGCUUUUGUAAUAGAGAUUUUUUGUAAACUACAUGAACCCAGAAGAUUCCUGCUGAUGAACA